Molecule: ribosomal RNA, 253 nt
Filed under: uncultured bacterium
Lineage: Bacteria
Description: partial 16S ribosomal RNA
Rfam family: Bacterial small subunit ribosomal RNA
Source: RNAcentral
UACGUAGGGGGCAAGCGUUGUCCGGAAUCAUUGGGCGUAAAGCGCGUGUAGGCGGUUCGAUAAGUCUGCUGUGAAAGUCCAGGGCUCAACCCUGGAAAGCCGGUGGAUACUGUCGGACUAGAGUACGGAAGAGGCGAGUGGAAUUCCCGGUGUAGCGGUGAAAUGCGCAGAUAUCGGGAAGAACACCCGUGGCGAAGGCGGCUCUCUGGGACGGUACUGACGCUGAGACGCGAAAGCGUGGGGAGCGAACAGG